This 77-nucleotide transfer RNA is filed under the name Nitrospira sp. Its description in RNAcentral is "tRNA-Arg". It matches the Rfam family "tRNA". Rfam says of the family: Transfer RNA (tRNA) molecules are approximately 80 nucleotides in length. The record is from RNAcentral. Lineage: Bacteria; Pseudomonadati; Nitrospirota; Nitrospiria; Nitrospirales; Nitrospiraceae. RNAcentral also lists the same sequence under 1 other name.
GCCCCCGUAGCUCAGUUGGAUAGAGCAGCGGUUUCCUAAACCGUUUGUCGCUGGUUCAAUUCCGGUCGGGGGCACCA